This 632-nucleotide ribosomal RNA is filed under the name uncultured bacterium. RNAcentral's name for it is "bacterial SSU rRNA". It matches the Rfam family "Bacterial small subunit ribosomal RNA", at positions 8 to 638 of the family's 1533-position model. The record is from RNAcentral.
AGAGUUUGAUCCUGGCUCAGGACGAACGCUGGCGGCAGGCUUAACACAUGCAAGUCGCACGAGAACAGGCCUUCGGGCCUUAGUAAAGUGGCGGACGGGUGAGUAACACGUAGACAACCUGCCCCAAAGCGAGGGAUAACUAUCGGAAACGGUAGCUGAUACCGCAUGCAGUCUUUACCGGGCAUCCGGUUUAGAUGAAAGCCUUCGGGCGCUUUGGGAUGGGUCUGCGGAGGAUUAGUUUGUUGGUAGGGUAAAGGCCUACCAAGACUACGAUCCAUAGCUGGUCUGAGAGGACGAUCAGCCACACUGGGACUGAGACACGGCCCAGACUCCUACGGGAGGCAGCAGUGGGGAAUCUUGGGCAAUGGGCGAAAGCCUGACCCAGCCAUGCCGCGUGGAGGAAGACACCCCUAUGGGGCGUAAACUCCUUUUGUGCAGGAAGAAGGCCUCGGUCACCGAGGUUUGACGGUACUGCACGAAUAAGCACCGGCUAACUCCGUGCCAGCAGCCGCGGUAAUACGGAGGGUGCAAGCGUUGUCCGGAAUCACUGGGUGUAAAGGGUGUGUAGGCGGGAUUGUAAGUCAGAGGUGAAAUCUUGCGGCUCAACCGUAAAAUUGCCUUUGAUACUGCAG